UGUUCAGCGGGUCUUCUCCUUUCUUUCUACAGUUCAAUCCAAUCAUCCAGUUGGUUUAUAUAUAUCAUUCUUUAAGCUAUGGCUUCCGACAACUUAUCUGCUCCAGUGCUCUUUCUGCUCUGUUGUAUAGUUUCAUUUCCUCCUAAUCCUUCACGGAGGUGCUGUGUUACUAUUGAUCAAGUUUUAUUUUGGAAAGCUAGGGUUCUGAGAAAUUCUUCCUCAGAUGCUUCCUUUUCUAAUGAGGCCAUUACCGAAUCCUUUACUGAUUCCUGUAGUUCUUCCUUUGUUGGAGCCCUAGCUAAAGCUUACUGUUAACAGGGCUGAAGCGAAGCCCUCUUUUGUGACUUUAGUUAAGGUGGCUGCUAUCAAGAUGGCGAUUUUAGGGUUUACAGUCAUGCUAACGCAGAAGCAUCUGAAUCAUUAGCCAGCGAUGUAGUGAAGAAAUUUAAUCCAAUUUCUUGGACAAGUAUAUCAUAUCAUUCAUUAAGCUAUGGCUUCGAACGACUCCUUUGCUCCAGUGCUCUUUCUGCUCUGUUGUAUUGUUUCAUUUCCUCCAAAUCCUUCACGGAUGCUCCGUGUUACUAUUGAUCAAGUUUUAUUUUUGGAGAGCUAGGGUUCUGAGAAAUUUUUCCUCAGAUGCUUCCUUUGUAAGAGUGAAAUUACUUAAUCCACUCCUGAUUCCUGUAGUUCUUCCUUCGUUACAGCCCUAGCUAAAGCUCUGUGUUAACGGGGCUGAAGCGAACCCCUCUUCUGUGAUUUUAGGCAAGGUGGCAGCUCUAAAGACGGUGAUUUUAGGGUUUACAGUCGUGCUAACGCAGAAGCAUCUGAAUCAUUAGCCAGCGAUGUAGUGAAGAAAGUUGAUCCAAUUUCUUGCACAAGGGUUUGACCUAAUUCUGGUAAGAUUGUGGAGUUUGGAGAGGAAGUUUCAGAGUCACAUGGAGAGUAUUUUCGUCUGCAAGUUACAGAAUUUUUUGCCCUGGCUUAAUUGAUCUGUAUAUUUGGUCUUUGUGGAAAAAGGUUAUUAUCCUGGGAAAGGUUUUGUUUUUAAGUGAUACUCACAUAUCCCAAGGACAUGCAAACACUACAAGGGGCCCCUCGGUUGGCGACAAAGUCUUCAUGGAGCUUAAACCCUGGUUUCAGAAUGUGGUACUUUGCUUUUCCUUCACUUGAGGAAUUCAUGGAAAAUGCAUGUGAAAGAAAAUAACAUGGAAGGUAAAUCUUUAUCCUUUAUGGAUUGCAAGUAUAUUUGUCCACAAGAUAUAACUUAUGUAUUCUUGAGAGCGAGCGUACUUAGAGAUGCUUGAUUCAUAGUUAGAGAUUCACUUGCACCUCAAAGUGGGGGCAAAAUAUAAUGGUGAAAAUCGUAUUCUCAAUGUAUUCUUGGUUUUUUUUUUUUUCCUAACUUUGGGUUAAUGUGGUCAUAUAGCUACAAAUGACACAUUGUUUAUGGAUAAUUGGGCUUGCAAACCUAGCCUUGCUUGCAUGUAGCCCUAUGCGUAUUGCUUAUCCUUAUGAUUAUAUGCAUGCAAUCCCAAUCCAAUUGGAUUAUAUGUCAAAGUUUCAAUCAUAAUCCAACUUUGUUGGAUAUUGAUCCAACUUGGCUAUAUGACCCAUGUUUGCAAUAUUGAUCAUUUUAAAUGUAAAAUUUGAAGUAGAACAUUUAGUAGACGGCCCCCCCAUUACACUUUGGCCCCAAGUUAACUUUGCACGAA
Long non-coding RNA from Cryptomeria japonica (Japanese cedar), 1712 nucleotides. RefSeq lists it as uncharacterized. The record is from RefSeq and is a predicted model, not a curated record. NCBI's taxonomy places the organism in Eukaryota, Viridiplantae, Streptophyta, Pinopsida, Cupressales, Cupressaceae. The transcript has 2 exons.